UACGUAGGGUGCGAGCGUUGUCCGGAAUUACUGGGCGUAAAGAGCUCGUAGGUGGUUUGUCGCGUUGUUCGUGAAAUCUCACGGCUUAACUGUGAGCGUGCGGGCGAUACGGGCAGACUAGAGUACUGCAGGGGGAGACUGGAAUUCCUGGUGUAGCGGUGGAAUGCGCAGAUAUCAGGAGGAACACCGAUGGCGAAGGCAGAUCUCUGGGCCGUAACUGACGCUGAGGAGCGAAAGCAUGGGGGAGCGAACAGG
Molecule: ribosomal RNA, 255 nt
Filed under: uncultured bacterium
Lineage: Bacteria
Description: partial 16S ribosomal RNA
Rfam family: Bacterial small subunit ribosomal RNA
Source: RNAcentral